ACCCCCUUUCAGAGCACCCCUCUCGGGGGGCCCGCCGGAGGUACACCAAACUCUUGAAUUUACAUGGCCUCUCUGAGUCUUCUGUACUGAAUAAGUCAAAACUUUCAACAACGGAUCUCUUGGUUCUGGCAUCGAUGAAGAACGCAGCGAAAUGCGAUAAGUAAUGUGAAUUGCAGAAUUCAGUGAAUCAUCGAAUCUUUGAACGCACAUUGCGCCCGCCAGUAUUCUGGCGGGCAUGCCUGUCCGAGCGUCAUUUCAACCAUCAAGCCCCCGGCUUGUGUUGGGGACCUGCGGCACACCCGCAGGCCCUGAAAAAACAGUGGCGGGCUCGCUGUCCACACCGAGCGUAGUAGCAUAUCUUUGUCUCGCUCAGGGCGUGCGGCGGGUUCCGGCCGUGAAACCCACCUUUCUCGAAGGUACCCAAAGGUUGACCUCGGAUCAGGUAGGAAGACCCGCUGAACUUAAGCAUAUCAAUAAGCGGAGGAAA
This 487-nucleotide ribosomal RNA is filed under the name Dichotomopilus funicola. Its description in RNAcentral is "eukaryotic LSU rRNA". The stretch from base 100 to 253 matches the Rfam family "5.8S ribosomal RNA". The record is from RNAcentral. Lineage: Eukaryota; Fungi; Ascomycota; Sordariomycetes; Sordariales; Chaetomiaceae.